CCUUCAUUACAUUGACUCUAGAAUAUUGGCAGCAAUUUGAUGGUGACGUUUCAUGUUAUAAAUUAAAGCAAAUCAGUUCCUUGAAACUCAGCUCAAUCGAAACCAAAGUUACAAUUACUUUCUCCUCUCAAUUCAAGCAAUGAAACUCAAGAAGAGAAAAAAACUAUAUUCAAAAGGGAAGCUCCAUACAACAAUUAUGAUUUCCUUGAUUAAUAAGUUUGAUACGGCGUGAAAACCGUUCUCGGAAACUAAAGAAAAAUGGACAGUGAGAGUGGAGUCCCAAUUUUAGAUUUUCGUAAGAGCACUGGAAUUAUUUUAGAAGAAGGAGGUCAAGGAUGGAAAGAAAUGAGUAAGAAAGUGAGAGAAGCACUUGAGAGUCAUGGUAUGUUUCUCUUAAGGUGUGAUGAAAUACCGAAAGAAUUACAAAAUAAAAUGUUCCCGGCAUUAAAUCUUUGUUUGAUCUACCUGAGGAGACAAAGACGAAGUUCAUUGGCAAAAGAGCUUAUAGGGGUUAUUCGUCCAAGAACCCUACGCUUCCUAAUAGUCAAACAUUCGGUAUUGAUGAUACUUUUGAUCCAAAUGAGGCCCGAAGCUUCACUAACCUCAUGUGGCCUGAAGGAAAUCCUAAUUUCUGGUAUUUAAUUAUUUUACUUUGUUAAUAUUUUGGCUUACUUUAAUAACUUUGCUUUAAAAUAUUUUAUUAUUUUGCAAUGAGAUGAGGCAUAAUAGAUUAUGUAUAUACAGUGAGGCAUUAAUUUCAUUUAGCUCACAAGCACGUGAACUAAGCUCAUGUAUCCUAAAGAUGAUUAUGGAGGGCUUUGGCCUUCCAGAAAUUACAUUUUUGAAGUUAACGAGUUGUGUAGAGGUAAUGAUACACGGCUGACAAAGUAUCCACUUCCUAAAGAAGCAAAUGAUUCUGUGAUUACUUUUGUGCCUCACACCGACAAAUCCAAUCUUUCCAUUAUAUUAAAAAUAAAUAAUAAUAAGAAUAAUAAGAAGAAUAAUAAUAUAAAUACUAUUAAUCCACCACUAUAACUAAAUACAAAAUAACACAUAAAUCUUUAAACUAUACUUUUUUUUCUAUUUCAUAACUCAUAAUAUUUAAUUAUGACUAUUCACCUGCUUAAUAAAUUGAUAUACAUUUUGAUUAAUAACUUAAUUAGAUAUUAUUUUUUAUUUUUAAUUAUUUUUCUAUGCAUAAUCACACCAUAUAUAUAUAUAUAUAUAUAUAUAUAUAUAUAUAUAUAUAUAUAUAUAUAUAUAUAUAUAUAUAUAUAUAUAUAUAUAUAUAUAUGAUUUUAACUUAUUAUCAUUUAAUUUAUAUUUUUAUAUUUUAUAGUAAUAAUAUUGAAUAGAAUAAGAAUGAAUUGAAAUUAAUACAUAAAUAAAAAUUUAUGGAGAAUAAAUAGUGAAAGAUAGUGAAGGGUUAAAAAAUAAGAGUAAAUAAAAUAUCACAAAACUUAUAAAAUAUGCUAAAAUUUAUGGAGAGUUUAUAAAAUAUAAUGGUAAUAAGAUUUAUAAAGUAAUAAAUUACUUAAAAGAGUGUUAAUUGAAAUAUUAAUUAGACCAAAUAAAUAUUUAAACUACGUCUUACUAAUUUGAUUGGUUAUUAUUUUCUUAUUUGUUAUUGUUCUACUCAUAUUUAUAUGUUUGCAUAUUGCGUGCGUGCAUGUGAGAUUGAGUUAAGAGAGGUUUAUAGGAAGUGAUUUUUUUUUCUAUUUUUGGGUUACAAGUGAUACCUCUCCAAAAUCACCAAAUUAGGUUUGAUUUUCGUGUUAUUUAGAUGAUUGAAAGGGUCAAUGAGGGGUGGUUUUAUUAUAUAUUUGAUGAGUCUAAAGUUUGUUUACUAUUUAUAUAUAUUCUGAAUCUUUUAAUACAGAGCAUAACAGGAGUUUAUUAUCUGCAGCUAACAUAACGGCACAACUGGUAUAACUAAUCGCUAACUACUUUAAUAACAUGACUUGUUAGGUUACAAAGCUUAUUCAUAAAUCUAAUUCCCAUCCACUGAUACAAACUAGUAUAAAACCUAUAUACUAUAUAAAUUUUGAAUUGUAGGUUUAUAGAUAGCAUGUAUAUUAUAGUUUUAUUGGGGCUUUUUUUUUUUGAUAAGCGACAUAUUAUAUUGAAUACGAGUACUAGGAGUACUCAAUGGGGCUUUUGAUCCAACUAAAAUCUAAGUUGCUUAUGAGCAUAAUUAUGUUUCAUUAAUGACUUGAUUGGGUUGUUCUUUUUUUCUUCUUUCUUUCUAAAACAGUUUGAUACGGCGUGAAAACCGUUAUCGGAAACUAAAGAAAAAUGGACAGUGAGAGUGGAGUCCCAAUUUUAGAUUUUCGUAAGAGCACUGGAAUUAUUUUAGAAGAAGGAGGUCAAGGAUGGAAAGAAAUGAGUAAGAAAGUGAGAGAAGCACUUGAGAGUCAUGGUAUGUUUCUCUUAAGGUGUGAUGAAAUACCGAAAGAAUUACAAAAUAAAAUGUUCCCGGCAUUAAAUCUUUGUUUGAUCUACCUGAGGAGACAAAGACGAAGUUCAUUGGCAAAAGAGCUUAUAGGGGUUAUUCGUCCAAGAACCCUACGCUUCCUAAUAGUCAAACAUUCGGUAUUGAUGAUACUUUUGAUCCAAAUGAGGCCCGAAGCUUCACUAACCUCAUGUGGCCUGAAGGAAAUCCUAAUUUCUGGUAUUUAAUUAUUUUACUUUGUUAAUAUUUUGGCUUACUUUAAUAACUUUGCUUUAAAAUAUUUUAUUAUUUUGCAAUGAGAUGAGGCAUAAUAGAUUAUGUAUAUACAGUGAGGCAUUAAUUUCAUUUAGCUCACAAGCACGUGAACUAAGCUCAUGUAUCCUAAAGAUGAUUAUGGAGGGCUUUGGCCUUCCAGAAAUUACAUUUUUGAAGUUAACGAGUUGUGUAGAGGUAAUGAUACACGGCUGACAAAGUAUCCACUUCCUAAAGAAGCAAAUGAUUCUGUGAUUACUUUUGUGCCUCACACCGACAAAUCCAAUCUUUCCAUUAUAUUAAAAAUAAAUAAUAAUAAGAAUAAUAAGAAGAAUAAUAAUAUAAAUACUAUUAAUCCACCACUAUAACUAAAUACAAAAUAACACAUAAAUCUUUAAACUAUACUUUUUUUUCUAUUUCAUAACUCAUAAUAUUUAAUUAUGACUAUUCACCUGCUUAAUAAAUUGAUAUACAUUUUGAUUAAUAACUUAAUUAGAUAUUAUUUUUUAUUUUUAAUUAUUUUUCUAUGCAUAAUCACACCAUAUAUAUAUAUAUAUAUAUAUAUAUAUAUAUAUAUAUAUAUAUAUAUAUAUAUAUAUAUAUAUAUAUAUAUAUAUAUAUAUAUAUGAUUUUAACUUAUUAUCAUUUAAUUUAUAUUUUUAUAUUUUAUAGUAAUAAUAUUGAAUAGAAUAAGAAUGAAUUGAAAUUAAUACAUAAAUAAAAAUUUAUGGAGAAUAAAUAGUGAAAGAUAGUGAAGGGUUAAAAAAUAAGAGUAAAUAAAAUAUCACAAAAAUUAUAAAAUAUGCUAAAAUUUAUGGAGAGUUUAUAAAAUAUAAUGGUAAUAAGAUUUAUAAAGUAAUAAAUUACUUAAAAGAGUGUUAAUUGAAAUAUUAAUUAGACCAAAUAAAUAUUUAAACUACGUCUUACUAAUUUGAUUGGUUAUUAUUUUCUUAUUUGUUAUUGUUCUACUCAUAUUUAUAUGUUUGCAUAUUGCGUGCGUGCAUGUGAGAUUGAGUUAAGAGAGGUUUAUAGGAAGUGAUUUUUUUUUCUAUUUUUGGGUUACAAGUGAUACCUCUCCAAAAUCACCAAAUUAGGUUUGAUUUUCGUGUUAUUUAGAUGAUUGAAAGGGUCAAUGAGGGGUGGUUUUAUUAUAUAUUUGAUGAGUCUAAAGUUUGUUUACUAUUUAUAUAUAUUCUGAAUCUUUUAAUACAGAGCAUAACAGGAGUUUAUUAUCUGCAGCUAACAUAACGGCACAACUGGUAUAACUAAUCGCUAACUACUUUAAUAACAUGACUUGUUAGGUUACAAAGCUUAUUCAUAAAUCUAAUUCCCAUCCACUGAUACAAACUAGUAUAAAACCUAUAUACUAUAUAAAUUUUGAAUUGUAGGUUUAUAGAUAGCAUGUAUAUUAUAGUUUUAUUGGGGCUUUUUUUUUUUGAUAAGCGACAUAUUAUAUUGAAUACGAGUACUAGGAGUACUCAAUGGGGCUUUUGAUCCAACUAAAAUCUAAGUUGCUUAUGAGCAUAAUUAUGUUUCAUUAAUGACUUGAUUGGGUUGUUCUUUUUUUCUUCUUUCUUUCUAAAACAGUUUGAUACGGCGUGAAAACCGUUAUCGGAAACUAAAGAAAAAUGGACAGUGAGAGUGGAGUCCCAAUUUUAGAUUUUCGUAAGAGCACUGGAAUUAUUUUAGAAGAAGGAGGUCAAGGAUGGAAAGAAAUGAGUAAGAAAGUGAGAGAAGCACUUGAGAGUCAUGGUAUGUUUCUCUUAAGGUGUGAUGAAAUACCGAAAGAAUUACAAAAUAAAAUGUUCCCGGCAUUAAAUCUUUGUUUGAUCUACCUGAGGAGACAAAGACGAAGUUCAUUGGCAAAAGAGCUUAUAGGGGUUAUUCGUCCAAGAACCCUACGCUUCCUAAUAGUCAAACAUUCGGUAUUGAUGAUACUUUUGAUCCAAAUGAGGCCCGAAGCUUCACUAACCUCAUGUGGCCUGAAGGAAAUCCUAAUUUCUGGUAUUUAAUUAUUUUACUUUGUUAAUAUUUUGGCUUACUUUAAUAACUUUGCUUUAAAAUAUUUUAUUAUUUUGCAAUGAGAUGAGGCAUAAUAGAUUAUGUAUAUACAGUGAGGCAUUAAUUUCAUUUAGCUCACAAGCACGUGAACUAAGCUCAUGUAUCCUAAAGAUGAUUAUGGAGGGCUUUGGCCUUCCAGAAAUUACAUUUUUGAAGUUAACGAGUUGUGUAGAGGUAAUGAUACACGGCUGACAAAGUAUCCACUUCCUAAAGAAGCAAAUGAUUCUGUGAUUACUUUUGUGCCUCACACCGACAAAUCCAAUCUUUCCAUUAUAUUAAAAAUAAAUAAUAAUAAGAAUAAUAAGAAGAAUAAUAAUAUAAAUACUAUUAAUCCACCACUAUAACUAAAUACAAAAUAACACAUAAAUCUUUAAACUAUACUUUUUUUUCUAUUUCAUAACUCAUAAUAUUUAAUUAUGACUAUUCACCUGCUUAAUAAAUUGAUAUACAUUUUGAUUAAUAACUUAAUUAGAUAUUAUUUUUUAUUUUUAAUUAUUUUUCUAUGCAUAAUCACACCAUAUAUAUAUAUAUAUAUAUAUAUAUAUAUAUAUAUAUAUAUAUAUAUAUAUAUAUAUAUAUAUAUAUAUAUAUAUAUAUAUAUAUGAUUUUAACUUAUUAUCAUUUAAUUUAUAUUUUUAUAUUUUAUAGUAAUAAUAUUGAAUAGAAUAAGAAUGAAUUGAAAUUAAUACAUAAAUAAAAAUUUAUGGAGAAUAAAUAGUGAAAGAUAGUGAAGGGUUAAAAAAUAAGAGUAAAUAAAAUAUCACAAAAAUUAUAAAAUAUGCUAAAAUUUAUGGAGAGUUUAUAAAAUAUAAUGGUAAUAAGAUUUAUAAAGUAAUAAAUUACUUAAAAGAGUGUUAAUUGAAAUAUUAAUUAGACCAAAUAAAUAUUUAAACUACGUCUUACUAAUUUGAUUGGUUAUUAUUUUCUUAUUUGUUAUUGUUCUACUCAUAUUUAUAUGUUUGCAUAUUGCGUGCGUGCAUGUGAGAUUGAGUUAAGAGAGGUUUAUAGGAAGUGAUUUUUUUUUCUAUUUUUGGGUUACAAGUGAUACCUCUCCAAAAUCACCAAAUUAGGUUUGAUUUUCGUGUUAUUUAGAUGAUUGAAAGGGUCAAUGAGGGGUGGUUUUAUUAUAUAUUUGAUGAGUCUAAAGUUUGUUUACUAUUUAUAUAUAUUCUGAAUCUUUUAAUACAGAGCAUAACAGGAGUUUAUUAUCUGCAGCUAACAUAACGGCACAACUGGUAUAACUAAUCGCUAACUACUUUAAUAACAUGACUUGUUAGGUUACAAAGCUUAUUCAUAAAUCUAAUUCCCAUCCACUGAUACAAACUAGUAUAAAACCUAUAUACUAUAUAAAUUUUGAAUUGUAGGUUUAUAGAUAGCAUGUAUAUUAUAGUUUUAUUGGGGCUUUUUUUUUUUGAUAAGCGACAUAUUAUAUUGAAUACGAGUACUAGGAGUACUCAAUGGGGCUUUUGAUCCAACUAAAAUCUAAGUUGCUUAUGAGCAUAAUUAUGUUUCAUUAAUGACUUGAUUGGGUUGUUCUUUUUUUCUUCUUUCUUUCUAAAACAGUUUGAUACGGCGUGAAAACCGUUAUCGGAAACUAAAGAAAAAUGGACAGUGAGAGUGGAGUCCCAAUUUUAGAUUUUCGUAAGAGCACUGGAAUUAUUUUAGAAGAAGGAGGUCAAGGAUGGAAAGAAAUGAGUAAGAAAGUGAGAGAAGCACUUGAGAGUCAUGGUAUGUUUCUCUUAAGGUGUGAUGAAAUACCGAAAGAAUUACAAAAUAAAAUGUUCCCGGCAUUAAAUCUUUGUUUGAUCUACCUGAGGAGACAAAGACGAAGUUCAUUGGCAAAAGAGCUUAUAGGGGUUAUUCGUCCAAGAACCCUACGCUUCCUAAUAGUCAAACAUUCGGUAUUGAUGAUACUUUUGAUCCAAAUGAGGCCCGAAGCUUCACUAACCUCAUGUGGCCUGAAGGAAAUCCUAAUUUCUGGUAUUUAAUUAUUUUACUUUGUUAAUAUUUUGGCUUACUUUAAUAACUUUGCUUUAAAAUAUUUUAUUAUUUUGCAAUGAGAUGAGGCAUAAUAGAUUAUGUAUAUACAGUGAGGCAUUAAUUUCAUUUAGCUCACAAGCACGUGAACUAAGCUCAUGUAUCCUAAAGAUGAUUAUGGAGGGCUUUGGCCUUCCAGAAAUUACAUUUUUGAAGUUAACGAGUUGUGUAGAGGUAAUGAUACACGGCUGACAAAGUAUCCACUUCCUAAAGAAGCAAAUGAUUCUGUGAUUACUUUUGUGCCUCACACCGACAAAUCCAAUCUUUCCAUUAUAUUAAAAAUAAAUAAUAAUAAGAAUAAUAAGAAGAAUAAUAAUAUAAAUACUAUUAAUCCACCACUAUAACUAAAUACAAAAUAACACAUAAAUCUUUAAACUAUACUUUUUUUUCUAUUUCAUAACUCAUAAUAUUUAAUUAUGACUAUUCACCUGCUUAAUAAAUUGAUAUACAUUUUGAUUAAUAACUUAAUUAGAUAUUAUUUUUUAUUUUUAAUUAUUUUUCUAUGCAUAAUCACACAUAUAUAUAUAUAUAUAUAUAUAUAUAUAUAUAUAUAUAUAUAUAUAUAUAUAUGAUUUUAACUUAUUAUCAUUUAAUUUAUAUUUUUAUAUUUUAUAGUAAUAAUAUUGAAUAGAAUAAGAAUGAAUUGAAAUUAAUACAUAAAUAAAAAUUUAUGGAGAAUAAAUAGUGAAAGAUAGUGAAGGGUUAAAAAAUAAGAGUAAAUAAAAUAUCACAAAAAUUAUAAAAUAUGCUAAAAUUUAUGGAGAGUUUAUAAAAUAUAAUGGUAAUAAGAUUUAUAAAGUAAUAAAUUACUUAAAAGAGUGUUAAUUGAAAUAUUAAUUAGACCAAAUAAAUAUUUAAACUACGUCUUACUAAUUUGAUUGGUUAUUAUUUUCUUAUUUGUUAUUGUUCUACUCAUAUUUAUAUGUUUGCAUAUUGCGUGCGUGCAUGUGAGAUUGAGUUAAGAGAGGUUUAUAGGAAGUGAUUUUUUUUUCUAUUUUUGGGUUACAAGUGAUACCUCUCCAAAAUCACCAAAUUAGGUUUGAUUUUCGUGUUAUUUAGAUGAUUGAAAGGGUCAAUGAGGGGUGGUUUUAUUAUAUAUUUGAUGAGUCUAAAGUUUGUUUACUAUUUAUAUAUAUUCUGAAUCUUUUAAUACAGAGCAUAACAGGAGUUUAUUAUCUGCAGCUAACAUAACGGCACAACUGGUAUAACUAAUCGCUAACUACUUUAAUAACAUGACUUGUUAGGUUACAAAGCUUAUUCAUAAAUCUAAUUCCCAUCCACUGAUACAAACUAGUAUAAAACCUAUAUACUAUAUAAAUUUUGAAUUGUAGGUUUAUAGAUAGCAUGUAUAUUAUAGUUUUAUUGGGGCUUUUUUUUUUUGAUAAGCGACAUAUUAUAUUGAAUACGAGUACUAGGAGUACUCAAUGGGGCUUUUGAUCCAACUAAAAUCUAAGUUGCUUAUGAGCAUAAUUAUGUUUCAUUAAUGACUUGAUUGGGUUGUUCUUUUUUUCUUCUUUCUUUCUAAAACAGUUUGAUACGGCGUGAAAACCGUUCUCGGAAACUAAAGAAAAAUGGACAGUGAGAGUGGAGUCCCAAUUUUAGAUUUUCGUAAGAGCACUGGAAUUAUUUUAGAAGAAGGAGGUCAAGGAUGGAAAGAAAUGAGUAAGAAAGUGAGAGAAGCACUUGAGAGUCAUGGUAUGUUUCUCUUAAGGUGUGAUGAAAUACCGAAAGAAUUACAAAAUAAAAUGUUCCCGGCAUUAAAUCUUUGUUUGAUCUACCUGAGGAGACAAAGACGAAGUUCAUUGGCAAAAGAGCUUAUAGGGGUUAUUCGUCCAAGAACCCUACGCUUCCUAAUAGUCAAACAUUCGGUAUUGAUGAUACUUUUGAUCCAAAUGAGGCCCGAAGCUUCACUAACCUCAUGUGGCCUGAAGGAAAUCCUAAUUUCUGGUAUUUAAUUAUUUUACUUUGUUAAUAUUUUGGCUUACUUUAAUAACUUUGCUUUAAAAUAUUUUAUUAUUUUGCAAUGAGAUGAGGCAUAAUAGAUUAUGUAUAUACAGUGAGGCAUUAAUUUCAUUUAGCUCACAAGCACGUGAACUAAGCUCAUGUAUCCUAAAGAUGAUUAUGGAGGGCUUUGGCCUUCCAGAAAUUACAUUUUUGAAGUUAACGAGUUGUGUAGAGGUAAUGAUACACGGCUGACAAAGUAUCCACUUCCUAAAGAAGCAAAUGAUUCUGUGAUUACUUUUGUGCCUCACACCGACAAAUCCAAUCUUUCCAUUAUAUUAAAAAUAAAUAAUAAUAAGAAUAAUAAGAAGAAUAAUAAUAUAAAUACUAUUAAUCCACCACUAUAACUAAAUACAAAAUAACACAUAAAUCUUUAAACUAUACUUUUUUUUCUAUUUCAUAACUCAUAAUAUUUAAUUAUGACUAUUCACCUGCUUAAUAAAUUGAUAUACAUUUUGAUUAAUAACUUAAUUAGAUAUUAUUUUUUAUUUUUAAUUAUUUUUCUAUGCAUAAUCACACCAUAUAUAUAUAUAUAUAUAUAUAUAUAUAUAUAUAUAUAUAUAUAUAUAUAUAUAUAUAUAUAUAUAUAUAUAUAUAUAUAUAUAUAUGAUUUUAACUUAUUAUCAUUUAAUUUAUAUUUUUAUAUUUUAUAGUAAUAAUAUUGAAUAGAAUAAGAAUGAAUUGAAAUUAAUACAUAAAUAAAAAUUUAUGGAGAAUAAAUAGUGAAAGAUAGUGAAGGGUUAAAAAAUAAGAGUAAAUAAAAUAUCACAAAAAUUAUAAAAUAUGCUAAAAUUUAUGGAGAGUUUAUAAAAUAUAAUGGUAAUAAGAUUUAUAAAGUAAUAAAUUACUUAAAAGAGUGUUAAUUGAAAUAUUAAUUAGACCAAAUAAAUAUUUAAACUACGUCUUACUAAUUUGAUUGGUUAUUAUUUUCUUAUUUGUUAUUGUUCUACUCAUAUUUAUAUGUUUGCAUAUUGCGUGCGUGCAUGUGAGAUUGAGUUAAGAGAGGUUUAUAGGAAGUGAUUUUUUUUUCUAUUUUUGGGUUACAAGUGAUACCUCUCCAAAAUCACCAAAUUAGGUUUGAUUUUCGUGUUAUUUAGAUGAUUGAAAGGGUCAAUGAGGGGUGGUUUUAUUAUAUAUUUGAUGAGUCUAAAGUUUGUUUACUAUUUAUAUAUAUUCUGAAUCUUUUAAUACAGAGCAUAACAGGAGUUUAUUAUCUGCAGCUAACAUAACGGCACAACUGGUAUAACUAAUCGCUAACUACUUUAAUAACAUGACUUGUUAGGUUACAAAGCUUAUUCAUAAAUCUAAUUCCCAUCCACUGAUACAAACUAGUAUAAAACCUAUAUACUAUAUAAAUUUUGAAUUGUAGGUUUAUAGAUAGCAUGUAUAUUAUAGUUUUAUUGGGGCUUUUUUUUUUUGAUAAGCGACAUAUUAUAUUGAAUACGAGUACUAGGAGUACUCAAUGGGGCUUUUGAUCCAACUAAAAUCUAAGUUGCUUAUGAGCAUAAUUAUGUUUCAUUAAUGACUUGAUUGGGUUGUUCUUUUUUUCUUCUUUCUUUCUAAAACAGUUUGAUACGGCGUGAAAACCGUUCUCGGAAACUAAAGAAAAAUGGACAGUGAGAGUGGAGUCCCAAUUUUAGAUUUUCGUAAGAGCACUGGAAUUAUUUUAGAAGAAGGAGGUCAAGGAUGGAAAGAAAUGAGUAAGAAAGUGAGAGAAGCACUUGAGAGUCAUGGUAUGUUUCUCUUAAGGUGUGAUGAAAUACCGAAAGAAUUACAAAAUAAAAUGUUCCCGGCAUUAAAUCUUUGUUUGAUCUACCUGAGGAGACAAAGACGAAGUUCAUUGGCAAAAGAGCUUAUAGGGGUUAUUCGUCCAAGAACCCUACGCUUCCUAAUAGUCAAACAUUCGGUAUUGAUGAUACUUUUGAUCCAAAUGAGGCCCGAAGCUUCACUAACCUCAUGUGGCCUGAAGGAAAUCCUAAUUUCUGGUAUUUAAUUAUUUUACUUUGUUAAUAUUUUGGCUUACUUUAAUAACUUUGCUUUAAAAUAUUUUAUUAUUUUGCAAUGAGAUGAGGCAUAAUAGAUUAUGUAUAUACAGUGAGGCAUUAAUUUCAUUUAGCUCACAAGCACGUGAACUAAGCUCAUGUAUCCUAAAGAUGAUUAUGGAGGGCUUUGGCCUUCCAGAAAUUACAUUUUUGAAGUUAACGAGUUGUGUAGAGGUAAUGAUACACGGCUGACAAAGUAUCCACUUCCUAAAGAAGCAAAUGAUUCUGUGAUUACUUUUGUGCCUCACACCGACAAAUCCAAUCUUUCCAUUAUAUUAAAAAUAAAUAAUAAUAAGAAUAAUAAGAAGAAUAAUAAUAUAAAUACUAUUAAUCCACCACUAUAACUAAAUACAAAAUAACACAUAAAUCUUUAAACUAUACUUUUUUUUCUAUUUCAUAACUCAUAAUAUUUAAUUAUGACUAUUCACCUGCUUAAUAAAUUGAUAUACAUUUUGAUUAAUAACUUAAUUAGAUAUUAUUUUUUAUUUUUAAUUAUUUUUCUAUGCAUAAUCACACCAUAUAUAUAUAUAUAUAUAUAUAUAUAUAUAUAUAUAUAUAUAUAUAUAUAUAUAUAUAUAUAUAUAUAUAUAUAUAUAUAUAUAUGAUUUUAACUUAUUAUCAUUUAAUUUAUAUUUUUAUAUUUUAUAGUAAUAAUAUUGAAUAGAAUAAGAAUGAAUUGAAAUUAAUACAUAAAUAAAAAUUUAUGGAGAAUAAAUAGUGAAAGAUAGUGAAGGGUUAAAAAAUAAGAGUAAAUAAAAUAUCACAAAAAUUAUAAAAUAUGCUAAAAUUUAUGGAGAGUUUAUAAAAUAUAAUGGUAAUAAGAUUUAUAAAGUAAUAAAUUACUUAAAAGAGUGUUAAUUGAAAUAUUAAUUAGACCAAAUAAAUAUUUAAACUACGUCUUACUAAUUUGAUUGGUUAUUAUUUUCUUAUUUGUUAUUGUUCUACUCAUAUUUAUAUGUUUGCAUAUUGCGUGCGUGCAUGUGAGAUUGAGUUAAGAGAGGUUUAUAGGAAGUGAUUUUUUUUUUCUAUUUUUGGGUUACAAGUGAUACCUCUCCAAAAUCACCAAAUUAGGUUUGAUUUUCGUGUUAUUUAGAUGAUUGAAAGGGUCAAUGAGGGGUGGUUUUAUUAUAUAUUUGAUGAGUCUAAAGUUUGUUUACUAUUUAUAUAUAUUCUGAAUCUUUUAAUACAGAGCAUAACAGGAGUUUAUUAUCUGCAGCUAACAUAACGGCACAACUGGUAUAACUAAUCGCUAACUACUUUAAUAACAUGACUUGUUAGGUUACAAAGCUUAUUCAUAAAUCUAAUUCCCAUCCACUGAUACAAACUAGUAUAAAACCUAUAUACUAUAUAAAUUUUGAAUUGUAGGUUUAUAGAUAGCAUGUAUAUUAUAGUUUUAUUGGGGCUUUUUUUUUUUGAUAAGCGACAUAUUAUAUUGAAUACGAGUACUAGGAGUACUCAAUGGGGCUUUUGAUCCAACUAAAAUCUAAGUUGCUUAUGAGCAUAAUUAUGUUUCAUUAAUGACUUGAUUGGGUUGUUCUUUUUUUCUUCUUUCUUUCUAAAACAGUUUGAUACGGCGUGAAAACCGUUCUCGGAAACUAAAGAAAAAUGGACAGUGAGAGUGGAGUCCCAAUUUUAGAUUUUCGUAAGAGCACUGGAAUUAUUUUAGAAGAAGGAGGUCAAGGAUGGAAAGAAAUGAGUAAGAAAGUGAGAGAAGCACUUGAGAGUCAUGGUAUGUUUCUCUUAAGGUGUGAUGAAAUACCGAAAGAAUUACAAAAUAAAAUGUUCCCGGCAUUAAAUCUUUGUUUGAUCUACCUGAGGAGACAAAGACGAAGUUCAUUGGCAAAAGAGCUUAUAGGGGUUAUUCGUCCAAGAACCCUACGCUUCCUAAUAGUCAAACAUUCGGUAUUGAUGAUACUUUUGAUCCAAAUGAGGCCCGAAGCUUCACUAACCUCAUGUGGCCUGAAGGAAAUCCUAAUUUCUGUUUGAUACGGCGUGAAAACCGUUCUCGGAAACUAAAGAAAAAUGGACAGUGAGAGUGGAGUCCCAAUUUUAGAUUUUCGUAAGAGCACUGGAAUUAUUUUAGAAGAAGGAGGUCAAGGAUGGAAAGAAAUGAGUAAGAAAGUGAGAGAAGCACUUGAGAGUCAUGGUAUGUUUCUCUUAAGGUGUGAUGAAAUACCGAAAGAAUUACAAAAUAAAAUGUUCCCGGCAUUAAAUCUUUGUUUGAUCUACCUGAGGAGACAAAGACGAAGUUCAUUGGCAAAAGAGCUUAUAGGGGUUAUUCGUCCAAGAACCCUACGCUUCCUAAUAGUCAAACAUUCGGUAUUGAUGAUACUUUUGAUCCAAAUGAGGCCCGAAGCUUCACUAACCUCAUGUGGCCUGAAGGAAAUCCUAAUUUCUGUUUGAUACGGCGUGAAAACCGUUCUCGGAAACUAAAGAAAAAUGGACAGUGAGAGUGGAGUCCCAAUUUUAGAUUUUCGUAAGAGCACUGGAAUUAUUUUAGAAGAAGGAGGUCAAGGAUGGAAAGAAAUGAGUAAGAAAGUGAGAGAAGCACUUGAGAGUCAUGGUAUGUUUCUCUUAAGGUGUGAUGAAAUACCGAAAGAAUUACAAAAUAAAAUGUUCCCGGCAUUAAAUCUUUGUUUGAUCUACCUGAGGAGACAAAGACGAAGUUCAUUGGCAAAAGAGCUUAUAGGGGUUAUUCGUCCAAGAACCCUACGCUUCCUAAUAGUCAAACAUUCGGUAUUGAUGAUACUUUUGAUCCAAAUGAGGACCGAAGCUUCACUAACCUCAUGUGGCCUGAAGGAAAUCCUAAUUUCUGGUAUUUAAUUAUUUUACUUUGUUAAUAUUUUGGCUUACUUUAAUAACUUUGCUUUAAAAUAUUUUAUUAUUUUGCAAUGAGAUGAGGCAUAAUAGAUUAUGUAUAUACAGUGAGGCAUUAAUUUCAUUUAGCUCACAAGUAGGGGUGUGCAAAAAAACCGGUUAU
Vicia villosa (hairy vetch) is the source of this 13825-nucleotide long non-coding RNA. RefSeq lists it as uncharacterized. The record is from RefSeq and is a predicted model, not a curated record. The transcript has 4 exons. NCBI's taxonomy places the organism in Eukaryota, Viridiplantae, Streptophyta, Magnoliopsida, Fabales, Fabaceae.